This 183-nucleotide ribosomal RNA is filed under the name uncultured bacterium. RNAcentral describes it as "partial 16S ribosomal RNA". It matches the Rfam family "Bacterial small subunit ribosomal RNA", at positions 1318 to 1500 of the family's 1533-position model. The record is from RNAcentral.
GCAUGAAGCCGGAAUCGCUAGUAAUCGCGGAUCAGAAUGCCGCGGUGAAUACGUUCCCGGGUCUUGUACACACCGCCCGUCACACCAUGGGAGUCGGGAAUGCCCGAAGUCAGUGGCCCAACCGGAAGGGGGGAGCUGCCGAAGGCAGGCCCGGUGACUGGGGUGAAGUCGUAACAAGGUAGC